CCGGUUCGGCCCCGAGUUGUAAUUUGCAGAGGACGUUUCGGGCGCGGCGCGGGUCUAAGUCCUUUGGAACAGGGCGUCGGAGAGGGUGAGAAUCCCGUAUGCGACCCGUGACCAACCCCCCACGAAACCCCUUCGACGAGUCGAGUUGUUUGGGAAUGCAGCUCAAAAUGGGUGGUAAAUUUCAUCUAAAGCUAAAUACCGGCCAGAGACCGAUAGCGCACAAGUAGAGUGAUCGAAAGAUGAAAAGCACUUUGGAAAGAGAGUCAAACAGUACGUGAAAUUGUUGAAAGGGAAGCGCUUGCGACCAGACCUGUCCGGGGGUGAUCAACCUCCGUUCUCGGGGGUGCACUCGCCCGCGAUCAGGCCAGCAUCGGUUCGGGCGGUCGGAUACAGGCCUUGGGAAUGUAGCUUCCUUCGGGGAGUCUUAUAGCCCUCGGUGCAAUGCGGCCAGCCCGGACCGAGGACCGCGCUUCGGCUAGGAUGCUGGCGUAAUGGUCGUAAGCGACCCGUCUUGAAACACGGACCAAGGAGUCUAACAUCUAUGCGAGUGUUUGGGUGUCAAACCCAUGCGCGGAAUGAAAGUGAACGGAGGUGAGAACCCUGNAAGGGCGCAUCAUCGACCGAUCCAGAUGUCUUCGGAUGGAUUUNGAGUACGAGCAUAGCUGUUGGGACCCGAAAGAUGGUGAACUAUGCCUGAAUAGGGUGAAGCCAGAGGAAACUCUGGUGGAGGCUCGCAGCGGUUCUGACGUGCAAAUCGAUCGUCAAAUUUGGGUAUAGGGGCGAAAGACUAAUCGAACCAUCUAGUAGCUGGUUCCUGCCGAAGUUUCCCUCAGGAUAGCAG
RNAcentral lists this ribosomal RNA (841 nucleotides) under Stereocaulon oregonense. Its description in RNAcentral is "partial 28S ribosomal RNA". It matches the Rfam family "Eukaryotic large subunit ribosomal RNA", at positions 127 to 984 of the family's 3401-position model. The record is from RNAcentral. Lineage: Eukaryota; Fungi; Ascomycota; Lecanoromycetes; Lecanorales; Stereocaulaceae.